AAUGGACUGCCCUGUUCGUGUUUUUUAGGAUAAGUUGAGCCGAUACUUACAAUAAGGGACGGGUCUCUGUCGGUAGUGUGCAAGCCUAGCUCGACUGGGAAGCCUAAAGCCGUUACACCUCUCCCACCUGAGCUACUCAGGUUCAAUCAUCCCCUAAAUCACGGCAGGGCGGUUUCUCC
This 179-nucleotide non-coding RNA is filed under the name Candidatus Lambdaproteobacteria bacterium RIFOXYC1_FULL_56_13. RNAcentral's name for it is "6S RNA". It matches the Rfam family "6S / SsrS RNA". Rfam says of the family: E. coli 6S RNA was the first non coding RNA to be sequenced, but its function was unknown until recently. It consists of 184 nucleotides that fold into an extended hairpin structure with a large single-stranded internal bulge. RNAcentral also lists the same sequence under 2 other names. Lineage: Bacteria; Pseudomonadati; Pseudomonadota; Candidatus Lambdaproteobacteria. The record is from RNAcentral.